UACGUAGGGGGGCAAGCGUUGUCCGGAAUUAUUGGGCGUAAAGAGCUCGUAGGCGGCCUGUUACGUCUGCUGUGAAAUCCCGGGGCUUAACCCCGGGCGUGCAGUGGAUACGGGCAGGCUGGAGGCAGGCAGGGGAGAACGGAAUUCCCGGUGUAGCGGUGAAAUGCGCAGAUAUCGGGAGGAACACCGGUGGCGAAGGCGGUUCUCUGGGCCUGUACUGACGCUGAGGAGCGAAAGCGUGGGGAGCAAACAGG
Molecule: ribosomal RNA, 254 nt
Filed under: uncultured bacterium
Lineage: Bacteria
Description: partial 16S ribosomal RNA
Rfam family: Bacterial small subunit ribosomal RNA
Source: RNAcentral